AUGCCAACAAUUGUCGGUAAAGCUUUGGGACAAUAUGGCCAGAUAAAGGUCCGGCCAAGGAAUUGCAAGGGCUAUCGGUAUAUCUGCAGCAGAGAAAGUUUCGAGGGGGUCCGGAUCCAGAUACUCCGCCCCCAGACUCUCCGACGCCGCUGCGGCAGAGAGGGGCAGCUGCCCUCAUUGGCUCCCUGUGCCCGAGUGCCGGGCACCGCCGGCUCUGCAGCAAUGUUCUUCAGGGGGCCGCUGCCCUCCUGGGCCGCCAGCAGAGCCCACCUUCCCGAAGAAGACUCUUCCCCAUGGCCUCUGUCUCCUCUAGCCCCGCCGCCCGCCUCCGCUUGCAGAGACCUCUUAAAUUUACCAUCAGCCUCAGUAGGAAUAGUACUGUUAAUAACGACAGCUGGGGGCGGCGCGGGGGGCGAUGCGUGGCACCGGGAGGGCCAUACCCACCCCAGCCGCCCUCGUACCCAAGCCCCGGCAGCCUCGGCGUGGGACGCGAGCAGCCCCCGACACACCUCUCCCUCUCUUGUCCCAGUCUCGAGUAUCCCUGAGGCCCACAGGCUAAGCUCUGACUCCUCACCAUGCCUGGAGAGAAUUCGCAAGGAAAGCCCCCUAGAAAGACAUUUCUCCGCUGCUGAUGGUUGUCUGUUUUGGGGGGGAACGGGGGAGGUAAGUGAGUGGGAAAUACCGGGGCAAAGGGGAGGAGUGAGGUACGCAGCAGUCCGGCGUGGGCCAGCCUUCGUGGCCCUCCUCUCUCUAAAAGCAACCUGCUCCUCCUUCCUCGAGUGGCUUCUUCUUUUCUUCCCGCCCAUCCGAGAGGGCCUGAAGAAGCCUCUCCUGACGUCUCUGCGAAUGACGGUGCUCGGCGGGCGGCUGCGGAACGGAGACCGCGCGAGUGUGGCUACUGACCCAUCUUCCUGAGGAGAAUGGCUGAGAUGUCUUUGAAAUUAUUCCUGGAAUUCGACCAGCAUGAGAUCUCUACCAAACUGAGGUAAUACUGUUGAAAGGCAAGAAAUCUGAAGUGAUGUAUGUUCAACUGUCUGUGCAUUGACAAUGUCAACUGCUGAAAACAUUCCCCAUGCCUGGGGCCAAAGGAAACAGUCAGAAUGGGUAAACCUGAGGACAUCAGUCUCUUCUGAGGGAUAUUUGGUUGGUGAAGCCAAAAGCUUUUCUAGGUAAUUUCUAGAUCCAGGUUUUUACUAACAAUGACAGCCCAGACUUCUGCCAUAAUGAAGUACCUUCUUGGAGGUUAACUAACUAGUUAUUUACCUAGCAAUACUCAGCAUAAUGGCAAGCACAGGAGUGGGGUCACUUUUGGUUAGUUUGUAGAGCCUUUAACACCUCAGAAAUUUCACUAUGAGAAAACCAGACAAUUUAAAAUGAUAGCGUGGGCAGUAAAAUUAUGUAGCAUAUCACUACUAAGCCUUCUGCUAGAAAAUUCACAAAUUUUUCUUUCUUUAACUCUUCACCAGAACAGGUUUUGGUUACAAUUCUGUCGGGGUGGACCUGACAUAAAAUGAUGUCAAAAAUCAGUCACAUUAGGAUUACACACAUAAAUAAGACAAGUACAAUUUGCCAAGUGAUAUGCAUGAAAAUGAAUUUUCUUGCUAUGGAAUGAUUUUUUUGAAAUCAGUUUUCUUUAAAUGGUAUUAGCUAGAAAGCAGCAGAAAAUAUGCCCUGGUCUAUACCAGGAGGUAUAUCUGUCUCAUUCUGUUUCAUCAAGCGUACAUAAGUUAUGUAUGGCGUUUUCAUUAUGGAUAGUAGUCUGGCCUUAGAAAGAUAUCAAUUAUUAUGAAAUGUCUUUCAUUAAUUGUUUCUCUCUUGUGAGGAUUUAAAAAAUAGUUUGUGUUGAAAAGAGCAAAGAUAAACACUGUUUGUUAAGAUCUCUGUAGUGUAAAAUAAAAUACUGCCUUUCCUAAUAAUUUCA
This is a long non-coding RNA of Zonotrichia albicollis (white-throated sparrow), 1921 nucleotides long. Lineage: Eukaryota; Metazoa; Chordata; Aves; Passeriformes; Passerellidae. The record is from Ensembl.